This 467-nucleotide long non-coding RNA is filed under the name Helianthus annuus (common sunflower). Its description in RNAcentral is "hypothetical non coding rna". The record is from RNAcentral. Lineage: Eukaryota; Viridiplantae; Streptophyta; Magnoliopsida; Asterales; Asteraceae.
UGCCUUCCGAACUACUCCAAGAUACACGAUGCGUCAAAGAUAGAGUAACUUAUAGUUUUUAGUAUGAACAUCAACUCUUCCGAAGCAAAUUACCCCAAGGGCUUCUCAAAUGCUGAUCGUAUUGCUUAUUCGACAAUGUGAGCUGUUAACGCAUUUUGAAACGGUUAGAUUUUUCAUAAGGUUGUUUUAUAGUUAGGAGUUGUAAACGAGCCGUGUCUCUUGUGCUACUUGGAAUGGCUCGCUAAAGUUUGAAUGGCUCGCUAAGGUAGAAAUUGAGCCCUAUCUAAAAAAAUUAAAUAUGUAAUGCUAUGACACUAGAAGCAAUCAGUUUGAUCUUUUAUUAGUUUCACUUAACCUUAGUAAUUUUUAUUAGAUUAUAUUUUAGUUCUUUGUAUUUUGUAGUUGAUUUCCAUUUUAUAUCAAUUUUCUGUCCUAUUGAAGUUGAAUUAUCGAUUUGAAAUUUGAAU